UCUGUGAAGUGCAUGAUGAAACUGCACCAGCACUUGUACAGCCAUCCAACCCUAGUGCCUUGCUAGCAAAGCCCUGUGCUUAGAGGGUAGAAAAAGCUACCCAGGAAUUAAUACACUGCACUAUUACUUUGCUGUACUUGGAGAAUUUCUGGGCUCUACAAGGUCUUUUGGAUUUCAGAGUUGUUGACUCAAGGAACAAAGAUCAUGUGACUGACUAACCUGUCCGUUAAGACAAGACAAGUAGCAACCUACUGAUGGCUUCCAAGACAGUUGUGUCCUAUUUAAAGAUGAAAAUAUGUAGCGUGGACCAUGCAAGGAGAUGAAUUACUGAAUAUUCAAG
Long non-coding RNA from Gopherus evgoodei (Goodes thornscrub tortoise), 340 nucleotides. RefSeq lists it as uncharacterized. The record is from RefSeq and is a predicted model, not a curated record. Lineage: Eukaryota; Metazoa; Chordata; Testudines; Testudinidae. The transcript is spliced from 3 exons.